UCCGAGUUGACCCCGGCAGUCUCCUAUGAGUCCCCGGCCGAACCGCUGGCAACAUAGAACGAGGGUUGCGCUCGUUGCGGGACUUAACCCAACAUCUCACGACACGAGCUGACGACAACCAUGCACCACCUGUACACCGCCCUUGCGGACCCCACAUCUCUGCGAGUUUUCGAUGUAUGUCAAGCCUUGGUAAGGUUCUUCGCGUUGCGUCGAAUUAAGCCACAUGCUCCGCCGCUUGUGCGGGCCCCCGUCAAUUCCUUUGAGUUUUAGCCUUGCGGCCGUACUCCCCAGGCGGGGUGCUUAAUGCGUUAGCUGCGGCACAGACGGCGUGGAAUACCGCCUACACCUAGCACCCACCGUUUACGGCGUGGACUAC
Molecule: unclassified non-coding RNA, 376 nt
Filed under: uncultured Frankiales bacterium
Lineage: Bacteria; Bacillati; Actinomycetota; Actinomycetes; Frankiales
Description: contains 16S-23S intergenic spacer region
Source: RNAcentral